This 484-nucleotide ribosomal RNA is filed under the name uncultured bacterium. RNAcentral describes it as "partial 16S ribosomal RNA". It matches the Rfam family "Bacterial small subunit ribosomal RNA", at positions 30 to 507 of the family's 1533-position model. The record is from RNAcentral.
AUUGAACGCUGGCGGCAGGCCUAACACAUGCAAGUCGAGCGGAUGAAGGGAGCUUGCUCCUGGAUUCAGCGGCGGACGGGUGAGUAAUGCCUAGGAAUCUGCCUGGUAGUGGGGGAUAACGUCCGGAAACGGGCGCUAAUACCGCAUACGUCCUGAGGGAGAAAGUGGGGGAUCUUCGGACCUCACGCUAUCAGAUGAGCGUAGGUCGGAUUAGCUAGUUGGUGGGGUAAAGGCCUACCAAGGCGACGAUCCGUAACUGGUCUGAGAGGAUGAUCAGUCACACUGGAACUGAGACACGGUCCAGACUCCUACGGGAGGCAGCAGUGGGGAAUAUUGGACAAUGGGCGAAAGCCUGAUCCAGCCAUGCCGCGUGUGUGAAGAAGGUCUUCGGAUUGUAAAGCACUUUAAGUUGGGAGGAAGGGCAGUAAGUUAAUACCUUGCUGUUUUGACGUUACCAACAGAAUAAGCACCGGCUAACUUCGUG